Long non-coding RNA from Mustela erminea (ermine), 145 nucleotides. RefSeq lists it as uncharacterized. The transcript has 2 exons. The record is from RefSeq and is a predicted model, not a curated record. NCBI's taxonomy places the organism in Eukaryota, Metazoa, Chordata, Mammalia, Carnivora, Mustelidae.
AGGAGUUAUAAUAGGAGCCACAAGCUUCCCAGAAGCAUUUGAUAACUGUGGAUCCAGAAAUUGUAGCUCAAGGUACUGUUGGCUUUUCUGGAGCAGAGUUGGAGAAUCUUGUGAACCAGUCUGCAUUAAAGGCAGCUCUUGAUGG